This 379-nucleotide ribosomal RNA is filed under the name uncultured Neisseria sp. RNAcentral's name for it is "bacterial SSU rRNA". It matches the Rfam family "Bacterial small subunit ribosomal RNA", at positions 524 to 902 of the family's 1533-position model. Lineage: Bacteria; Pseudomonadati; Pseudomonadota; Betaproteobacteria; Neisseriales; Neisseriaceae. The record is from RNAcentral.
UACGUAGGGUGCGAGCGUUAAUCGGAAUUACUGGGCGUAAAGCGGGCGCAGACGGUUACUUAAGCAGGAUGUGAAAUCCCCGGGCCCAACCUGGGAACUGCGUUCUGAACUGGGUGACUAGAGUGUGUCAGAGGGAGGUAGAAUUCCACGUGUAGCAGUGAAAUGCGUAGAGAUGUGGAGGAAUACCGAUGGCGAAGGCAGCCUCCUGGGAUAACACUGACGUUCAUGCCCGAAAGCGUGGGUAGCAAACAGGAUUAGAUACCCUGGUAGUCCACGCCCUAAACGAUGUCGAUUAGCUGUUGGGCAGCUUGACUGCUUAGUAGCGAAGCUAACGCGUGAAAUCGACCGCCUGGGGAGUACGGUCGCAAGAUUAAAACUC